Pseudogymnoascus pannorum is the source of this 101-nucleotide non-coding RNA. The record is from Rfam. Lineage: Eukaryota; Fungi; Ascomycota; Leotiomycetes; Thelebolales; Thelebolaceae.
GGUGGAAUGGUGUAAUGGUAGCACGUGACGUUGUGGUAUAACACUCACCUGUUGUAACAUACAAUCCCGUUUCAAUCUGGGUUCGAUUCCCAGUUCCGCCA